GCGGAUUCUAGUCGCUCGGUAUUCUCGCGCUCAGCAAGAGAUGAGGAUGAUGAAGAGGCUCUUAAAUGGGCUGCAUUGGAGAAAUUGCCAACGUUUGAUCGGAUGAGAAAAGGUUUAUUGUUUGGAAAAGAAGGUGAAAGUGCUACUGAAGUUGAUACAAAUGAUAUUGGACAUCAAGAAAGGAAGAAUUUGCUUGAUAGGCUUGUGAAGGUUGCUGAUGAAGAUAAUGAGAAGUUCUUGUUGAAACU
This 248-nucleotide unclassified non-coding RNA is filed under the name Hevea brasiliensis (rubber tree). Lineage: Eukaryota; Viridiplantae; Streptophyta; Magnoliopsida; Malpighiales; Euphorbiaceae. The record is from RNAcentral.